UCAGGAAGCAGAUGAUCCUCCUUCUGAUAUAUUGUUAGGUCAAUAUCUAAGAUGACAUCACAAUGCUUCACAGUGUCUUUGUGGUGGACCUCCUAGAUAUUUUAUCAUCUCAGAUCAUCAUCAUAAGAACUAGUAGAAAUGACAUAAAGUGAUGUAAUUUCCUGCCAGAGAUCUGAAGUUUCAAACACGGUGUAUCAUUUGAGAAGUAUAACUAAAACUAUUCAAAUAAUGCAAAACAAGGUUAUCACCUCAAUUUCACAAAUGUUCUUCAUGGAAGCCUAGGAAGUAAACCUGGGUCAUGGAGGACAUGGUUCCAAUGCUCAGUUUCUUUUGAAAAAUUUUCAUCCAAACAUGAAUUCACAGAGUGGAAAGUGCACAAUCUAUGAAGUCUACUUAAACAGAGGUUGUUCAACAUUUUACUGCAAAAGGCCAGACUAGUAAUGGUUUAAAGUGAUGCAUGGAAAGUGCUGUUCAGAAAGAAAGAUAACAUAUACAAAGGACAUAUGCCUAGAGAUUAUAAAGAACAUGAAAGGGGAGCACCUGGGUGGCUCAGAUGUUUAAGUUUCUGCCUUCAGCUGAGGUCAUGAUCUCCAUCCAGGUCCUGGAAUGGAGCCCCACGUCGGGGGGCUACCCCUGCCAUUGGGGAGCCUGCUUUUCCUUCUCCCUCUGCCACAUCCCCACUUUUACAGAUUAACAACUUGUGGAGAUAAUGAUCACAUGCUUUACUUGCAUCUUUAUGGUACUACAAGACCCCAUUCUCUGAACAAGAAGCACAGCAAAAACACUGAAGGAAAAUAAUGUUGGUUUAAUGCAAAUUUCAGUGUGGAAGAUGAAUGUGAAAGAGUCGAGGAAAGAAACUGAGCCAUGGUGGACCAGCAGGGUUGGAGGAAAAGUGCCAAACAUUUUAUUUUUAUUGGAGACAGAGAGAGAGAGAGAGAGAGGCAGAGAC
Molecule: long non-coding RNA, 949 nt
Organism: Canis lupus familiaris (dog)
Lineage: Eukaryota; Metazoa; Chordata; Mammalia; Carnivora; Canidae
Exons: 8
Source: RefSeq, a predicted model, not a curated record